RNAcentral lists this transfer RNA (74 nucleotides) under Candidatus Omnitrophota bacterium. RNAcentral describes it as "Candidatus Omnitrophica bacterium (groundwater metagenome) tRNA-Ile". It matches the Rfam family "tRNA". From Rfam's summary of the family: Transfer RNA (tRNA) molecules are approximately 80 nucleotides in length. Their secondary structure includes four short double-helical elements and three loops (D, anti-codon, and T loops). Further hydrogen bonds mediate the characteristic L-shaped molecular structure. tRNAs have two regions of fundamental functional importance: the anti-codon, which is responsible for specific mRNA codon recognition, and the 3' end, to which the tRNAs corresponding amino acid is attached (by aminoacyl-tRNA synthetases). tRNAs cope with the degeneracy of the genetic code in two manners: having more than one tRNA (with a specific anti-codon) for a particular amino acid; and 'wobble' base-pairing, i.e. permitting non-standard base-pairing at the 3rd anti-codon position. Lineage: Bacteria; Pseudomonadati; Candidatus Omnitrophota. The record is from RNAcentral.
GGGCCUGUAGCUCAGUCGGUUAGAGCAGCUCACUCAUAAUGAGCGGGUCGUUGGUUCGAGUCCAACCGGGCCCA